GCGCUGUAGCAAUACAGAGCGGCAGACGGGUGAGUAACGCGUGGGAAUCUAUCCAUCCUUACGGAACAACUCCGGGAAACUGGAGCUAAUACCGUAUACGCCCUACGGGGGAAAGAUUUAUCGAGGAUGGAUGAGCCCGCGUUGGAUUAGCUAGUUGGUGGGGUAAAGGCCUACCAAGGCGACGAUCCAUAGCUGGUCUGAGAGGAUGAUCAGCCACAUUGGGACUGAGACACGGCCCAAACUCCUACGGGAGGCAGCAGUGGGGAAUAUUGGACAAUGGGCGCAAGCCUGAUCCAGCCAUGCCGCGUGAGUGAUGAAGGCCCUAGGGUUGUAAAGCUCUUUCACCGGAGAAGAUAAUGACGGUAUCCGGAGAAGAAGCCCCGGCUAACUUCGUGCCAGCAGCCGCG
This 407-nucleotide ribosomal RNA is filed under the name uncultured soil bacterium. RNAcentral's name for it is "bacterial SSU rRNA". It matches the Rfam family "Bacterial small subunit ribosomal RNA", at positions 66 to 519 of the family's 1533-position model. The record is from RNAcentral.